AUUGAACGCUGGCGGCAGGCUUAACACAUGCAAGUCGAACGAGUGGCGGACGGGUGAGUAAUGUCUGGGAAUCUGCCUGAUGGAGGGGGAUAACUACGGGAAACUGUAGCUAAUACCGCCUACCAUCGGAUGUGCCCAAGUGGGAUUAGGUAGUUGGUGGGGUAAUGGCUCACCAAGACGACGAUCACUAGCUGGUCUGAGAGGAUGACCAGCCACACUGGGACUGAGACACGGUCCAGACUCCUACGGGAGGCAGCAGUGGGGAAUAUUGCACAAUGGGCGCAAGCCUGAUGCAGCCAUGCCGCGUGUGUGAAGAAGGCCUUCGGGUUGUAAAGCACUUUCAGCGAGGAGGCGUUACUCGCAGAAGAAGCACCGGCUAACUCCGUGCCAGCCGCCGCGGUAAUUC
RNAcentral lists this ribosomal RNA (406 nucleotides) under uncultured bacterium. Its description in RNAcentral is "partial 16S ribosomal RNA". It matches the Rfam family "Bacterial small subunit ribosomal RNA", at positions 30 to 526 of the family's 1533-position model. The record is from RNAcentral.